AUCCGGCUGACGAGUCCCAAAUGAGACGAAACACGCAUCCUGAAU
Schistosoma mansoni is the source of this 45-nucleotide non-coding RNA. The record is from Rfam. NCBI's taxonomy places the organism in Eukaryota, Metazoa, Platyhelminthes, Trematoda, Strigeidida, Schistosomatidae.